UACGUAGGGUGCGAGCGUUAAUCGGAAUUACUGGGCGUAAAGGGCUCGUAGGUGGCCAACUAAGUCGGACGUGAAAUCCCUCGGCUUAACCGGGGAACUGCGUCUGAUACUGGAUGGCUUGAGUUCGGGAGAGGGAUGCGGAAUUCCAGGUGUAGCGGUGAAAUGCGUAGAUAUCUGGAGGAACACCGGUGGCGAAGGCGGCAUCCUGGACCGGUAUUGACGCUGAGGCGCGAAAGCCAGGGGAGCAAACGGG
Molecule: ribosomal RNA, 253 nt
Filed under: uncultured bacterium
Lineage: Bacteria
Description: partial 16S ribosomal RNA
Rfam family: Bacterial small subunit ribosomal RNA
Source: RNAcentral